RNAcentral lists this unclassified non-coding RNA (235 nucleotides) under Hevea brasiliensis (rubber tree). The record is from RNAcentral. Lineage: Eukaryota; Viridiplantae; Streptophyta; Magnoliopsida; Malpighiales; Euphorbiaceae.
AGCAACCCAAAGUCAAAUUCUUCAAGCAUAUGUUUAACAAAGGCAAGAUUCCUCAAGCAUACAGACUUAUGAAGAAGUGGACAUAUGCAAGCCAAGGACCAUAAGCAGCUCACAAGGAGUGCCAAAAAUACGGAACCAAUGCAUACAAGAGACUAAUUCACAAGGAUGAGAAGCCAAUGUCGCUGAUUAUCGGGGUCGACCAGCUAACUUACAGAGCAGAGUUAUCAAAAUGGAU